Molecule: long non-coding RNA, 1576 nt
Organism: Spinacia oleracea (spinach)
Lineage: Eukaryota; Viridiplantae; Streptophyta; Magnoliopsida; Caryophyllales; Amaranthaceae
Exons: 5
Source: RefSeq, a predicted model, not a curated record
UGUUUCCUGGCAUUAAGGUUUUCCGCAUGAUUUAUGUUUUGUCAUAUGUAUCAUAACCUAACAGCUGCACCUGUGAGUCACGUACACUGUUGCCUUAUUAUUCUCUUUGAUCGUGGUUGCUUCUCCUCCUUUCUACUGUUUUGAUAUGAAAAGGAUUAGGAUUUGAGGAUGCUUAAUUAUCAGGAUGUCAUCGGCAAACUCUACAAUUAGAUUUUGGGAUGCAUCGAGGUUGAUUCAAUUUUGCUGAUGCUACUUUUCUUGAGGGGAAUUCUACUGUUGUUCCUCUGCUGGAAGUGUUGCCAUCGGUUUCUCUGGAGACCUCGAAGCUGUUCAUGCAAAGGCUAGUUGGAAGGAGAGGCGGUGUCAACUACUACAACAAAAGAGGGAAAACUACUUGCAAAUGCAUACCAUGUAUGGAAUUGGAUAUGUUCAGAAGAUAUCGGCUAGAAAGGGUCUUAAAACAAGAUGCAACCUGUGAUGAAACACAUUUACGUACUCAUGCUACUCAUUUUAAUAGGAUUAUCCAGUUGUGUACUCUUCAAUAGUAGGAGGAGUAUUUUGUUGUCAUUCUUGUUAAUUAUGCAUUGGUAGCAAACAGAUUGUAAAUGGGCAUUUUUCAGCUAAUUUAACCCCAAGGAGUUGGUAUGUAUUAUAGUUUUAGGCUACAAUAUUAAUGUGUAGCUGCUGUAAUUUUUUUUUUAAAAAGAAUUCACAACAUUUUCCUCGUUUUAUUUACAGAAAUGCAGCAAUUGAUAUUUACAUUUGCCCCAUUUUUUUUGAAAAAAAUGUUGCAGAUGACUUUUUUUUGCUGCAUUUUUUUUGCGCGGCAUAUGAUAUCACAUUUGCAGCCCCCAAUGUUGCCGCACCACGAAUAACGAGGCAAAUGAGGCUUUUUUGUGCGCAACAAAUCCCCUUAUUCUACUAGUGUACGGUUUUCUACACCACGCAUCAAACAUCAAAUCAUGCUACCUUCCGAUGAAUACUGGUAUACAUCUGUUUCUCCGACAUUAACAGAUAAAUAUCUCAAGAAUACAAAGUCCGAAAAAUACAAGAAUUCAGGCGUUCGACUCCAAACGGACGCAACCCCCAGGAAUGUCAGCCAAAAUUUCAAAAUUUUAAGAGUCAAUAAAAAACUCUUUCCCCCAGUGGACAUAUCCCCAGCGGAUCAACUCCGGGUAUUCAAAUUUCGAAAAUUCAAAAUUCAAAAAAAUUCAAAAUUUCAAGAUUCCAAAUUUUCGAUGCCAAGCUCCGUCCUGAACCAAAGGCGGAAAAGAAAUACAAUCCAUACAAAGAUCAGAGUCGUCACAACCGCACGGAGGAGUUGAUUUCUAGUGAGUCGUGAUUCGCACAGUGGCCCCCGUACUUAGGUAUUCCAGGUACGUACAAGACUAGGGUGACCAACCAUCCCUUGAGGACUUUGUGAAGUGUAUUGAAUGCGAAUCAUGUGAACUUAUAUGUUGUUAUCAAUUAAUGUUUGAUGAUUGGGAAUAAAUAUGUUAUUAUGAAUUAAUGUUUGAUAUUGAGAACGAGCAUGUUAUUAUUAUUAUUGAAUUUAUGUGAGCGAGCAUGUUAUGAA